Molecule: ribosomal RNA, 319 nt
Filed under: uncultured eukaryote
Lineage: Eukaryota
Description: partial 18S ribosomal RNA
Rfam family: Eukaryotic small subunit ribosomal RNA
Source: RNAcentral
CCCUUAGAUGUUCUGGGCUGCACGCGUGCUACAAUGAAGCGUCCAACAAGAUGCGAAGCCGAAAGGCUCAGCGGAUCUUUGAAGUCGUUUCGUGACCGGGACAGUUGAUUGCAAUUAUUCGACUCGAACGAGGAAUUCCUUGUAAUCGCGAUUCAUCAUAUCGCGCUGAAUACGUCCCUGCCCUUUGUACACACCGCCCGUCGCUCCUACCGAUUGAGCGAUCCGGUGAAUUAUUUGGAGUGUCCACGCAAGCCAAUCCGUUUACGUGGGUGCGAAAUUUUGUAAACCUUAUCGCUUAGAGGAAGGAGAAGUCGUAACA